Molecule: ribosomal RNA, 407 nt
Filed under: uncultured bacterium
Lineage: Bacteria
Description: partial 16S ribosomal RNA
Rfam family: Bacterial small subunit ribosomal RNA
Source: RNAcentral
AUUGAACGCUGGCGGCAGGCCUAAUACAUGCAAGUCGAGCGGAGCGGCGGACGGGUGAGUAAUGCCUAGGUAUCUACCUGGCCGUUGGGGAUAAGGUCAGGUCACGGGCGCGGAGAUAGCAUAGUACCAGCUGAGACUUGGUGGGAUUAGCUGGUUGGUGGGGUAAAGGCUUACCAAGGCGACGAUCCGUAACUGGUCUGAGAGGAUGAUCAGUCACACUGGAACUGAGACACGGUCCAGACUCCUACGGGAGGCAGCAGUGGGGAAUAUUGGACAAUGGGCGAAAGCCUGAUCCAGCCAUGCCGCGUGUGUGAAGAAGGUCUUCGGAUUGUAAAGCACUUUAAGUUGGGAGGCGUUACCAACAGAAUAAGCACCGGCUAACUUCGUGCCAGCAACCGCGGUAAUAC